CGAUGACGGAUUCUCUUUCCUUUGAGUCUAUCCUUGAUAUGAUCACUUUAACCGGUGACAUAUAUUCUCAUCUUUGGUCUUCUGCCUAGUAACCGGUAGUUGUAAAUCCUAUUUCUGCAGUUUUUCCCCCAGGAAGUCUAUUCUUACCUAGUAACUGGUAAUUAAUGCACUUCCUGGCGGCCCUCAAUGAGUCAUCCUUGAUAUGUUUACCCUAACCGGUAACGGGUGUCCUCUCUGAUCAUAUUUUAUUAUCUCCUUACCCAGUAAUAGGUAGUAGAUAAUAGAAUUCUUCUCCUCCUGUGUUGAAGUUUAUUGCUUCCCCAGAUGAGUUGAGUGCGUAUUUCCUUGGUGAAAUCGCUUUUCCUACAUGAUUCGAGUAUUUCAGUUUUAUUCUGAUCUACCUGUUUCCCCUACAGACGUCUUUUGUUUCUCCGACUGAGUCUUUCCAUUUUCAUGGAAUUCCUCUAGCCUCCCAACAGUUUUUAAGUCGUAGCCUGGCUUACUCACAACCUCUUUUAUCCCCUUAGAGUCUCUUCUCCCCAGUGAGUUUUUCCUUAUGGAAUGCAUCAUGCUCCUGCGGACCUUCGGUCUCUCUGACUUCUUUUCCUCUAUGGCAAUAUUUCCCCAAAAAGAUUUGCUUUUAGAUCCAUAUCAUAUGCAUCAUGAGGUCUCUUAGGGACCAAAAUUUGUUUCUAUAUGUUUCUAUUUAAGCCUUUUCUACUGAGUCGAUACAAAGAUUUUAACCUUCACCUCCUCAAUUAGAAUGUCCUUAAAUAGGGGAAGCUGUAAGACCCCAAUUUUGACCUUAAGAUCCCUCAUGCAAUCUCAUCAUAUGCAUUAGCGUUG
This 846-nucleotide long non-coding RNA is filed under the name Lathyrus oleraceus (garden pea). RNAcentral's name for it is "Pisum sativum (pea) long non-coding RNA (PSAT_LNC005651)". The record is from RNAcentral. Lineage: Eukaryota; Viridiplantae; Streptophyta; Magnoliopsida; Fabales; Fabaceae.